This 496-nucleotide ribosomal RNA is filed under the name uncultured Glomeromycotina. RNAcentral describes it as "partial small subunit ribosomal RNA". It matches the Rfam family "Eukaryotic small subunit ribosomal RNA", at positions 591 to 1092 of the family's 1831-position model. The record is from RNAcentral. Lineage: Eukaryota; Fungi; Glomeromycota.
CCAAUAGCGUAUAUUAAAGUUGUUGCAGUUAAAAAGCUCGUAGUUGAAUUUCGGGGUUCUACCGUUGGUCGGGCAAUAGUCUGUACUGGCGUGUAGAAUUUCUACCUUCUGGAGAACCAUCAUGUUAUUUAUUUAGCGUGGGGGGAAACCAGGACCUUUACCUUGAAAAAAUUAGAGUGUUCAAAGCAGGCUUACGUCUGAAUACAUUAGCUUGGAAUAAUAAAAUAGGACGGUGGUCCUGUUUUGUUGGUUUCUGAAUCACCGUAAUGAUUAAUAGGGAUAGUUGGGGGCAUUAGUAUUCAAUUGUCAGAGGUGAAAUUCUUGGAUUUAUUGAAGACUAACUUCUGCGAAAGCAUUUGCCAAGGAUGUUUUCAUUAAUCAAGAACGAAAGUUAGGGGAUCGAAGACGAUCAGAUACCGUCGUAGUCUUAACCAUAAACUAUGCCGACUAGGGAUCGGACGAUGUUAAUUUUUCUUGACUCGUUCGGCGCCUUACG